RNAcentral lists this long non-coding RNA (728 nucleotides) under Helianthus annuus (common sunflower). RNAcentral describes it as "hypothetical non coding rna". The record is from RNAcentral. Lineage: Eukaryota; Viridiplantae; Streptophyta; Magnoliopsida; Asterales; Asteraceae.
ACAAUGUAAAGUAUAACUCACUACGCAACAAUAAUUUAUAUUAGUAAUGUAACUGAUCAGACUUUUAAUUUUCACUUUCGUUAUCAAUAACUAUCACAUUCUAACAUAAAAAUAACUUUGUCUGACCCUGAUGAAAAAUAACUGAUUUUUAUAACAAUCAUAGUGUUCUAGUUAAUAGUUUUGAAACAAUGUAAUGAAUAAAUGGAUGUUUACUUCUCCGUUUGUAUAAUACCUGAUUUUCUAGUCCAGCCUAGAGGGUGUUUGGAGUUGAGUUUUAAAGGAGAUUUUUAAAUUAUUGAGUUUUGAAAUUGUAAAUAAUCAAUUUUGAGUUUUGAGUGUUUGGGUAAAAAAAUUAAAAAGUUGAUUAUUUGCGUUUAGAAAGUUACAAAACGCACUUUUCCAAAAGCAUCCCCCCCCCCCCCGUGCGGCAAAAAAAAAAAAAAAAAAAAAAAAACUAUACCUCACCAAAAAACCCAAAAAAAAAAAAACAUAAAAAAAAUCUAUAAAAAACUAAACACCCACCCCCACCCCCACCCCCACCCAAAAACCUAAACCCCCACCCCUUCGGCAAAAAAAAAAAUUUUUUUUUGGGGGGGGGGGUUGGGGGUUUAGGUUUUUGGUGGUGGUGGAUGUUUAAGGUUAUUGGACGACACUUGUCACUCUAUAAAUCCUUUUUACACUUCUUACAAUUAAAAUCUUUUGUAUUUGAUCCUAAUCCUAUAAAGUAG